RNAcentral lists this ribosomal RNA (1086 nucleotides) under Nasutitermes graveolus. RNAcentral's name for it is "16S ribosomal RNA". The stretch from base 644 to 1009 matches the Rfam family "Bacterial large subunit ribosomal RNA", at positions 2074 to 2646 of the family's 2925-position model. The record is from RNAcentral. Lineage: Eukaryota; Metazoa; Arthropoda; Insecta; Blattodea; Termitidae.
UGUUGAUUGUCUUGUUUUAAGUGUUUUGGUUUGCUUUAAGGUAUUUUAAUUAAAAUAUUAUUUUGUUGUUGUAUUGUUUUGAUUUAAUUUUUUUACUAUAGGUUAUUUGUACUGUGAGGGGUUGUUUGGGUUGUAAUGUUUUUUUAGAAGCUGAUUUUGUUUAUUGUACCUUGUGUAUCAGGGUUCAUUGAAUUUUAUUAUUUAUUUUUAUUUCCCGAUUUUAAAGGAGUUAAUGACUUAUGUUAGUUACUGUUUCAUUAGUAUUAAUAAUAGGUGGUUGGUAGUGAAAUGUUAUUCGUCUUUAGUGGUUUCUGGUUUUUCAAGAAAUGAAUUUAAUUCAUACAUCUUAUUUAAUUUCUGUUGUUGGUUUAUUUAUUUUUAUUUGAUGUUAAGAUUAAGGGGGAUUAGCUCCUUGUUUUACUUUUAUAAUUGGUUAUUGUUUAAUUUAGUUUUGUGGAUUUUAUAGUGAUUUUCUAUUUGAUUAUGUUAAAAUUUUAUUUGUUAUUUUUUUAAUUUUUUGUUAUUUAAGUUAUUUAUUGAAAUGUUUUCUUUACUUUUGGUUUGUAUAGUAAUUAUUGUGNNNNNNNNUUAGAGGCAUUGGUUUAUUGAAUUUGGUUUUUGAGUUAAAAUUCUUAAAUGUUUUUAUGGGACGAGAAGACCCUAUAGAGUUUGACAGGUUUCUUAUUUAUUCUUUGUUUGUUUUGUUACAUUAAAUUGGGAAUACUGUUUUGUUGGGGUGAUGGGAGGAUAAAAUUUAACUCUUCUUUGUUUUUGUAUAUUUAUGUAUAUUUUUUUGAUCCAUUUAUUUUGAUUAUAAGAUUAAAUUACCUUAGGGAUAACAGCGUUAUCUUCCUUGAGAGUUCUUAUUGGCGGGGAGGUUUGCGACCUCGAUGUUGGAUUAAGAUGAAUUUUCGGUGCAGGAGCUGAAAGUGAUUAGGUCUGUUCGACCUUUAAAAUCUUACAUGAUCUGAGUUCAGACCGGCGUGAGCCAGGUUGGUUUCUAUCUAUAGAAUUGUUUUAUAUCUUAGUACGAGAGGACCGGAUAUUUGGAAUAAGUUUCAGUUAUUACAUUGGUUUUUGUUAAUG